GACGAACGCUGGCGGCGUGCUUAACACAUGCAAGUCGAACGGAAAGGCCCUGCUUUUGUGGGGUGCUCGAGUGGCGAACGGGUGAGUAACACGUGAGUAACCUGCCCUUGACUUUGGGAUAACUUCAGGAAACUGGGGCUAAUACCGGAUAGGAGCUCCUGCUGCAUGGUGGGGGUUGGAAAGUUUCGGCGGUUGGGGAUGGACUCGCGGCUUAUCAGCUUGUUGGUGGGGUAGUGGCUUACCAAGGCUUUGACGGGUAGCCGGCCUGAGAGGGUGACCGGCCACAUUGGGACUGAGAUACGGCCCAGACGCCUACGGGAGGCAGCAGUGGGGAAUAUUGCACAAUGGGCGGAAGCCUGAUGCAGCAACGCCGCGUGCGGGAUGACGGCCUUCGGGUUGUAAACCGCUUUCGCCUGUGACGAAGCGUGAGUGACGGUAAUGGGUAAAGAAGCACCGGCUAACUACGUG
RNAcentral lists this ribosomal RNA (468 nucleotides) under uncultured bacterium. RNAcentral's name for it is "partial 16S ribosomal RNA". It matches the Rfam family "Bacterial small subunit ribosomal RNA", at positions 28 to 507 of the family's 1533-position model. The record is from RNAcentral.